CAUGUCAGCGCGCUUUGCUGACAUGGACACAAAUCGCGCUCCAGAGGACGCAAUUUGUUGCCAUGUCAGCAAAGCGCGCUGACGUGG
Non-coding RNA from Gossypium raimondii (Peruvian cotton), 87 nucleotides. The record is from Rfam. Lineage: Eukaryota; Viridiplantae; Streptophyta; Magnoliopsida; Malvales; Malvaceae.